AAAGGGGCUUCGGCCCUGAGUAGAGUGGCGAACGGGUGAGUAACACGUGGGUGAUCUACCUCCUGAGUGGGGGAUAACGUUCCGAAAGGAGCGCUAAUACCGCAUGACGUUCCGGGUUUGAAGACCUGGAAACCAAAGCCGGGGACCGCAAGGCCUGGUGCUUGGAGAGGAGCCCGCGCCUGAUUAGCUAGUUGGCGGGGUAAUGGCCCACCAAGGCGACGAUCAGUAGCCGGCCUGAGAGGGCGGACGGCCACACUGGGACUGAGACACGGCCCAGACUCCUACGGGAGGCAGCAGUGGGGAAUUGUUCGCAAUGGGCGCAAGCCUGACGACGCAACGCCGCGUGGAGGAUGAAGGCCUUCGGGUCGUAAACUCCUGUUGAUCGGGAAGAACGGGCUCCGGGUGAAUAGCCUGGAGCAGUGACGGUACCGAUUGAGGAAGCCACGGCUAACUCUGUGCCAGCAGCCGCGGUAAUACAGAGGUGGCAAGCGUUGUUCGGAAUUACUGGGCGUAAAGGGCGCGUAGGUGGCCUUUUCAGUCAGACGUGAAAUCCCCAGGCUUAACCUGGGAACUGCGUCUGAUACUGGAAGGCUUGAGUUCGGGAGAGGGAUGUGGAAUUCCAGGUGUAGCGGUGAAAUGCGUAGAUAUCUGGAGGAACACCGGUGGCGAAGGCGGCAUCCUGGACCGAAACUGACACUGAUGCGCGAAAGCCAGGGGAGCAAACGGGAUUAGAUACCCCGGUAGUCCUGGCCCUAAACGAUGAGUGCUUGGUGUGGCGGGUAUCGAUCCCUGCCGUGCCGAAGCUAACGCAUUAAGCACUCCGCCUGGGGAGUACGGUCGCAAGGCUGAAACUC
Molecule: ribosomal RNA, 854 nt
Filed under: uncultured Bacillota bacterium
Lineage: Bacteria; Bacillati; Bacillota
Description: bacterial SSU rRNA
Rfam family: Bacterial small subunit ribosomal RNA
Source: RNAcentral